GCGCUCGCUUGGCGGCGCAUGUACUAAAACUGGAACGAUACAGAGAAGACUAGCAUGGCCUCUGUGCAAGGCUGACACGCAAAUUAGUGAAGCGUUCCUUAUUUUU
Molecule: small nuclear RNA, 106 nt
Organism: Rattus norvegicus (Norway rat)
Lineage: Eukaryota; Metazoa; Chordata; Mammalia; Rodentia; Muridae
Source: Ensembl